GCCGUUUUUGGCACAACAUUUGUGAAUUUUGGGUCCCUAAUGCUCUUCAACUUAGUACUUGUUUGGCUUUAUAACUAUUUUGAUCUAAGCAUCGCUGAUGAGUCUUAUGCUGACGAAACGCACGUCUGGCGUUUUCAAUUAUAAGCCUGGUACCUUUGAUAACUAUUAGGACAGGUACAAACAAAGGUUUAAACGUUUUGAUAGGUACAAACUUUACCCUUACCUGAAUCAAUAGUCGUGUUACAGUACAUCAUAGAAAGACCCAUUAUAAAAUAUCAGUUGAAAGGACUUAACUCAAUCAAAAGACAUAAUAACAUAAACAAGUGAGCAAACACUGAACAAAUAAAUUUGACCAAUG
This 358-nucleotide long non-coding RNA is filed under the name Mytilus galloprovincialis (Mediterranean mussel). Lineage: Eukaryota; Metazoa; Mollusca; Bivalvia; Mytilida; Mytilidae. The record is from RNAcentral.